UCGUCGAUAUAAGGGAAUGUAAAGUCCACCGU
Molecule: small RNA, 32 nt
Filed under: Bombyx mori (domestic silkworm)
Lineage: Eukaryota; Metazoa; Arthropoda; Insecta; Lepidoptera; Bombycidae
Description: ovarian small RNA-7649
Source: RNAcentral